This is a long non-coding RNA of Triticum aestivum (bread wheat), 1607 nucleotides long. RefSeq lists it as uncharacterized. The record is from RefSeq and is a predicted model, not a curated record. Lineage: Eukaryota; Viridiplantae; Streptophyta; Magnoliopsida; Poales; Poaceae. The transcript has 2 exons.
UCCGAGUGAGCUUUUCGGCUCGGCCCGAAGCUCGCUCCAGCUCGGCCCGUUACAGCUCGGCCUGAUACAAUAAACGAGCGAGCCCAGUUGGGAAAAGAGGCCCGAUUCCCAACCGAGCCGAGCCGAGUUUCGCUCGGUCCAACUCGGUGACUCGCUCGAGGCCCAGCCCAAUUCGUCCAUCUCCAUCGCACGCAACGCAUUAGGGCACGAGAGACGCAGAGAGAGCGCCGCCUCCCCUUUCUCUGCUCUGUGCUGCCUCGCCCCUUUCUCUGCUCUGCGCCGCAAAGCUGGAUGGACGGCGACGAGCGACGCCGCGUUUCCUAACCGCACCGACAGCAACAGGCUCGACGGCGACGGGCGACGCCACCUUUCCUCACCACACGGACGCGUCUCCCCUGGUUUCUCGCCGAACGUGACGACCAGGAGCAGAGGCCUAUCGUCGCAACAAUAGACAAAGAAAAGGGGAAGGCGAAUGGGAAGGAGAAGGAGAAAGAGAGGACCUUGGAAUCCAUUAUGAAGAGUAAGUUGCCGGUAUCGGGGACCUCCGCCUCAACGUCCCCCUGACCCCACCGGCGCUGCCGUGGGUGCCGGAAUCGCCACUGCCUCCGGCUCCGCAAUCGACUAUGAGAGGGAGGCUACAUCUUCCCAGGUAUGUGCGUGCAAAAUAUAUAUUUUGUGCAAGCUCAUGUAUGUGCUGUUUUUGCUUUUUGGAAGUCAAAUUUAUGUGUUCCCAGGCUCAUAUGUGCUGUUUUUGGUAUCCAAAUGUCAAAUAUAUGUUUGUGCAAGCCUGCAAUGGCCUCCUCCUCUGCCGCUGAUGGAAGGCGACGACUCAUCCCAAGAUAAUGGAUUAUGUGGUGUGCAAUCCCACUACUCAGAAAUGGGUGGCCAUGCCUGCCACUGACUGGUCCAGAAUGGUGAGCGUCGCUCGCCUAGGAUUCGACCCAGCCGUUUCUUCCGAUUUCCGUGUAUUUGAGUUCAUUGAUGAGGAGUCAUGGGGUAUAGCUGAGGAUGAGCUUGAUGGGGAUUGCUGUGGACGCAUCGAAACACUAGCAAUAUACUCAUCCGAAGCUGGAGCUUGGAAAUACGAAACAGUUGAUAUUGGUCCAUUUGCGAUACCCAAGAAUUCAGUAAGCGCAUUUUUUAAUGGAAUCUUGCAUCUGGCUGACUCAUUUGAGUGGAUAGUAGCUGUUGAUGUGGAAGGAGCUAAUUGGUGGCUCAUUGAUGCUCCUGAGCCACCAUACUAUGCUGAUUGGUGUAGGUGGCAUAUUUCCAUCACAGGGACGGUUGUAUUUUGCUGAUUCUGUCAUUCUGAUGGUUCUAAACUAUCAAUCUUUGUUCUUGAGGACUACGUUACAGGAAAAUGGACUUUGAAGCACAAUGUGAGCCACUUGCAGUUAUUCAGAACAGAGUAUUCAUCGUAUGCGAAUAAUUAUAAUGUUGUUUCUAUCCAUCCAGAACACAGUUUGGUUUUUAUAGUCGGUGGAGUUGAGAAGACACUAAUGUUAUACGACAUGGAUUCUAGACAGCUGUGUUUUAUAUGUCAACUUGGCUCUGAGUGUAAGCUUGAAUGGCAAAGGCCUGAAUGCGGCAAAAAGACUCCUCCUUUU